RNAcentral lists this long non-coding RNA (6689 nucleotides) under Sus scrofa (pig). Its description in RNAcentral is "lncRNA (ENSSSCG00040015222.1)". Lineage: Eukaryota; Metazoa; Chordata; Mammalia; Artiodactyla; Suidae. The record is from RNAcentral.
AAGUUAAAAAAACAAAUCCAUGAAAUAUUUAUGGGUUUUGCACGUAUCAGUCUAAUAAGAAUGCAAAUAUUGUGAAUGCUUUCUACUCAUACAGUACUGACAUUUACCAAAUAGAAUUCUGUUAUUUGACCUCCUUCUGUAAACAUUGACAUUGCACUCACAUUUAUAAUAGAUUUCUGUCUGUUUUACUGCAGUUGAAUGUUUCCACCGGGAAUGUUAUUAGUUAUUAUGGCUGAAAAUGCACCUGCACCAGCUGUGCGGCUAAACAUAAAGAAGGCACCAGCCAAAAUCCCCGAGUCUCUUAACAGACCUUUGCUGCAUUACUGCCAUGGAUCCAACAUCCAUCCUGAAACAGCAGGGAGGAAAACUUCUUCCAACACUUCAUUUCCAUAGAAAUGAGGAUCUGACUUCUCUUCUCGCUUUCCCUCAUAGCAAUAUUUACUGUUCCCUUCCUUGCAUCCUAAUCUUUAUCAUUUAUCCAUUAGCUAUAGAUCGUCUCAUGUUGCAUUAGUAAAAACUAUUGGAAAAAGAGGAUGAAGUCAAUCGAGUCAUAGGAACAUAGAAAUGUUAAGAAAAAGAUCAAUGCAAGCAGUUUAUUUAAAAGCAAAAAAGUACAAAGUGCAUGGGGAAAAGCAAGAACUUGGCCUAUUUUUUCAAACUUUAGAAUUAUACAUAAAAAUUACAUUGCCGAGAUGCUCUCUAAGAUCAGAAAUAUACCCCCCCCCUCAAUUUUUCAUUUAAUUAAGCUCUUGAAUAGUUAUAUUUUUGGAAUUCUGUGAAUGGUUGGGACUGGGACAGUACUUGGGUCAAUUUAGAGUAAAAAUGCUAAGAACAGUUUAUGCAAUAGCUCAAGCUGGAGGAACUAGUAAAGCACUAACCCAAAAUAUGAAUUUAAAAAAUCUUUCAUAGAUAGUGUCUCUUUGAGUCAAUAAGGAUAUUUAUAGACACUAACAUGUUUUUAUUAUACUACCAACUGGCCCGAAUAUUUUUGAAUAAAAUGACUCAAAGAGGUUAUUUUUGAUGUUAUGUAUCCAGUAGUCAACUUCAUUGUAUUUGAUUAUUUUUGAAUUUUUUACUUUAAGGAGAUUUAUCAAUCUCAUAUGAUAGGCUCAAUCUUGACUUUGUUGACACUUCUGUGGGUUAGGUUAAAAUGAACAUUCCAUUUUUCUGAUAAUCACUGAAUCAUUUUUUGUUGCUUUUAUUUUUUGGAGAGGGUCAUGGAGCAGAUAUGACUAUUAGUUGACCCAUGAACUGGACCAGGCAAAUUAGAGGCUCCUCAUCCCCUCCCCUGUCCUUGGAUGGGUAUUCCACUUGUCUUGCCUGCACUAACAUCUGUCUCAAGAACUCAGCCUUGAGACAGUAAGAUGUUGUUGAGACCAGCUGGAUGGCAUAUAGGACUGCACCCAGUUAAGUCUUCAAUAUAAAAGUUUUUUGGGGGCCACACCCAUGGCAUAUGGAAGUUCCCAGGCUAGGCGUCCAAUCAGAGCUGCAGCUGCUGGCCUAUGCCACAGCCACAGUAAUGCCAGAUCUGACCUUCAUCCGUAACCUACACGGUAGUUCACUGCAAUGCAUCUGUAACCCACUGAGCAGAGCCAGGGAUAGAAACCACAUCCUCAUGGAUACUGGUCGGGUUUGUUACAGCUGAGCCACAAAGGGAACUCCUAUAUAAACUUUUAAGAUUACAGUGGGCAGGUGUAGAGAUCUGCUUGCUUUGCAGAUGCCCAAGACAAGCUUCGCAUAUAUGUUCUCUUGCUUUUAAACCUGCCGCCUACCAAUUGGGGUGCUCUCUGCUUCUUUCUUUGGUCUCUCCUUGCCCUCCACCUACAGAGGCCAGCUUCAGAUUUCACCCAGAAGCUCCCAAGUGUGUGAACCAACAUUAUUCCUGCUCACAAAAUUAUAUUCUCAUGUUUCAUUUUGUUUGCAUUGCCUCCCAAAAAUUUAUUCAUGACUUUUUGAAAAUCGGUGGUAACAAAUACAUAGAUGCUAGUUUUUAGUCAAAACUUUAAUUAGUAUCAUUUAUUCAGUAGUCUUUAAUCUAGCUAAUAUGCUUUAAACACUAUGCUCCUGGAUCAUAUUAGGCAUUGGAGAAAUAAUCCCUGCUAUUAAGAAAAUUCAAAUGCAAUAGGGAUGAUAGAUAAGCAGAAAUGUACUUUAAGUGAGGGAACUUUUUUGUUUGUUAGUUGAAGGUCUGUGAUUGAAGAGAAUAAAAUUUGAUUAGAGGAAACAGCAUAUGCAAAGGCCCAGAUAUAGUUUAUAAUAAUAAUGAUGAAUAGUUUUAUUUUCAUCCUUACAACAGAGUUUUUCAUACCACACUGUAAACCUCACACCUGGAACUCUGAAGAGUUUUGCAAAAUUUACAAAGCUAUAAAAAGUAUGAAAGGUGGUUAUUCUAAAUUAGGAGAAUUAUGUGUGUGCAUGUGUGUGUGGACAUGUGCACAUUAAUACCUGCGUUUUGUUUGAAGGUGCUUUGAAAAAAUGCAAAGGGGCAAGUCCUGUAACUUAUUUUCCUAAAAUCAUUUCCAAAGCCAUUUUUGCCAUCAUGAAACCAAAAUCAAGAACAAGGAUAUCUCUAUCUUCCAGACAUUUUCAGUACUAUAAGCUUCUACACUCCCCAGUUUUUCUGCUUCUUGUAGUCAAUGCUUGUAUUUGUUUCUUGUUUUUGUUUUGCUUUUUAGUGCCGCACCCGAGACAUAUGGAAGUUCCCAGGCUAGGGGUCAAAUCAGAGCUGUAGCCGCUGGCCUACGCCAUGAGCCACAUCUGCAACCUACACCACAGUUCAUGGCAAUGCUAGAUCCUUAACCCACUGAGGUAGGCCAGGAAUCGAACCCGCAUCCUCAUGGAUCCUAGUCGGUUCAUUAACAGCUGAGCCAUGAAGGGAAUUCCUAAUGCUUGUAUUUGAAAGGAGAAUCAUGUUGCCAUAAGAAGAGUUAUUAGCUCUCAAAUCAGGAAGGAGUCAGUCCCAGGCACUAACUGAUGUACAACACCAAUCAGUUUUAGCUCAGCUUCAGCUUUUCACAUCUGUAAAGGGAGAGUACUACCAUACAUAGUUGUCAGAAUUAAGAAUGUUAUACUUUUCAAAUAUAGGAAUGUAUGAACACUUAUUAUCAUGAUGCUUAUCUUCCUUGAUUUCAUCUCAGUGAAGUAAUUCUGUGUGAAGAUAUUAGCAAUCUAAUAUAAAUUAUAUAUUUUGGACUAUCCCACUUGGAUUGAUCCUAUGCAUUAUAUUUCUUUUAUUUUCCCCUUCUCACUACUUUAUAAAGUAAUUGACUUAUAAAAAAAUAUUAUAAUUUAUUAAAUGCAUAUUCAUUUGAAAUACAAAAAUGAAAAUGGCAAAAAAAACUAGAUAUAAUAGUCCUGUAACUCAACAAAUGCAAAACCUAAUGCAUUUUGAUCAAAUGUAGAAAUAAAGUGUAAAGCAAAAAAAAAGAGAAAAAUAGUUUAACUGUCUUCAUUGAUUAAUUUCUUUAUCAAAUAUUAAAAGAAUUUUAAAUAAGUUCUCUAGGUCAGAUUCUUGUAAGGGAAAAUAUGAAGAAUGAGAAAGAAAUUAUGAUUACUACAGCUUUUGACAGAGGUAGAACUUCAUAUAUUCUGGACAUGUAACAAGAAUUAAGUGUAUGAAUAUAAUUCAACGUAAUAGAGCCACAAUUAAAGUUCUGCCAACAAUUUAUGGCCUUGGGAAAAGCAACUGAUCAUUGAGUAAGAAUAAUUCUUAAUCACAUGAUGUGCGGCACAGCAGCUGCCUCACUCGCUUUAUUAGUCAAUGCGUUCCCAUGUCAAAGUACCAUUCUUACUACCUAGAAACUACUGUGGACAAUAAAUUGUUCAUAUUGCUCAUACCAAAUUUAGAUGGCCAAGGUUAAUAAAUAUCCUAUAUGGUUUUCAAAAAAUUAAUCUGGGAGUUCCCGCUGUGACACAAUGGGUUAAGAAUCCAGCUGCAGUGGCUUGGGUCAGUGCAGAGCUGCAGGGUUUGAUCCCCAACCUAGCACAGGGGAUAAAAGAAUCUGGCACUGGGAGUUCCCGCUGUGGCUCAGCAGUAACAAACCUGACUAGUAUCCAUGAGGAUGAGGGUUCGAUCCCUGGCCUUUCUCAGUGGGUUAAGGAUCCAGUGUUGCCAUGAGCUGUAGCAUGGGUCACAGAUGUGGCUCAGAUCCUGCUAUGGGUAGUCCAGUAGCUGCAUUUCCGAUUCAACCCCUAGGCUGGGAACUUUCAUGUGCUUCAGGUUCAGCCCUAAUAAGCAAAAAAAAAAAAGAGCGAGAGAGAGAGAAAAAAAAUCCGCAUUGGUCACAGCUGUGGCCAGAUUCAAAUUCUGGCCCAUGAACUUCCAUAUGCCACAGGUACAUCCAUAAAAGAAAAAAAAAUAAUCUGAAUACAAAUUCUACAGAUUUUUUUGUCAGAUGAUUACUAAUUUCAUAAAAGCUAGACAAGAUAUUAUAGGAAAGUCUGCUCUUAGGUACAAAUUCCACAAACUCCAGUGGAAUUUCCUAUUCUGUAUCUUUAGAACAUCGUGUUUCCAAUUGUCUCAGUAAUUAGUUCUAUGGGCUAGGUGUUCUUUCAGAACUUUCAUUACAAUUACAAUGAAAUUGUAAAUAGACCUAUGUUACAUCAAAACUAUCUAAUAUCCACUAAACAGCUGUGUUAUAAUAUUAGUUUUCAAAUUAGUUUAUACCUUAUGGCUGCCCAUUUACCUUUACAAGAAUAGCAAUAAGAGAAACGUGAUAAUUUUCUUUUUAAAGCAUUUUUUGUGCACUGAAUAUUGUACAAAACAUGAAAAAUGUCACAUCUUAAUGCUCAUUACAACCUCUAAGUAGGUGUAAUUAUGGACAAAAUCCUAAAACAUAGACUCUAAAUCUAUUCUGAGCAUUAUUUAACUUGAGGAAGCAUCAUUUUGAAAUAUUCAGGAAUGAGUUUUCUCAUUUAUGAAACAAAAAGUUUAAACUAGUUGCUGUCUAACAUCUUCCCAGAUCUAAGAGUCUGUGUCUUAUUGUUUCCUUAGAAUUGUCCAAGAAAAAGCAACAAUUUCGCCAUGAAAUAGGGGCCAGGUGAAGUGGUCUUUGUAACCCAUGUAUUCUAUAUAACCUGUGAGUGAUUAGAGAAUUUUCUCUAAAUAAUAACUUAGAUAUUAAUAUCUGACAAUAACAGAAUAUUUUUACAAGACCACUCUCUAGAUAGUAGAAAUGGCAAGUGUAGAAUUGGCAACCCUUGAUUUUGAAUAAUAUAGAGAAUGAGGAAAGGGAAGAGUCGAGGCCAGAACAAGUGGGUGAAUAGAAGUAACUUACUGACCUGGUGGACAUUGAGGUGGAGAACUUUUGAGAGGGACAGACUUGUUUUGGGCAUGUGCUAUUUGAUUAGGUGUAUUAGGUACUGGAUUAGGCACUUGCUUAAAUUAUGCAAUAUAUUGAGAUAAUAAAGUAUUUUAAGGCCUUAAAAUAUAUUGCCAAAUUAUCCUUUAAAAGGUUUGGACAAUUUAUCAUGUCUACAGGGAUAAGCACAAGACUGCCUGUUUUUCCAUAUGAUUAGUGCUAAUAUUUAAAAUAUACCAAGAUUUUUGCCAAUUUUUUUAGGUCAAAGAAAUGAUCUUGAAGGGGAAAAGCAGAUUAUCGGUUUAGAAAGCUUAAUCUGUGGCAUAAAUUUUAUCUGAAGAGGUCAUCAUAAUUGGCUAUAAAAGGGUAAAAUAAAUAGAAAUUAGAAGUCAUAAGUAGUAGCUAAUGUUUGGAUUGUAAAACAUACGUUGGGUCAAUUUGAGAUGAUUGUGAAAUUAAAAUUACCUAUCCAGAGUUCCCAUUGUAGCACAGUGGGUUCAGAAUCUGUCUGCAGUGGCUCAGGUCACUGUGGAGGCACAGGUUCAAUCCUUGGCCUGGCACAGUGGUUAAAGGAUCCCAUGUUGUCGCAGUUGAGGCAUAGGUCACAGCUAUAGCUGGAAUUCAGUCCUUGGCCUGGAAACUUCUAUAUGGCAUGGAUGUGGACAAAAAAAAAUUACCUAUCAGGGCAAGUAUUGGUAACUUGAUGUAUUAGUUAUCAAUUGCUGCUUAAUAAAUGACCAAAAGCACAGAGGCAUAAAAUAACAUAUAUUUAUUAUCUAUAUUCAUAUAUUAAGAAUCUAAAAGUGGCUUGGCUGGAUCAUAGGCAAAGGGUUUUACAAGACUGCAAUCAUGGUGUCAACCAAGCUCUGUUCUUUCAGGAGCUCAGCAACCAAAGAGUUGUUGGUAGAAUUCAAUUUCUUAUAGUUGAUAGGAUGAAUGGAGGAUGGAGCCUUUGACUUGAUUUGAUUUGAUUUGAUUUGUCUUUUGUCUUUUUAGGGCCGCACCUGCACAUAUGGAGGUUCCCAGGCUGGGGGGUCCAGUCAGAGCUAUAGCUGCUGGCCUACACCACAACCACAGCAACGUGGGAUCUGAGCCACGUCUGCAACCUACACCACAGCUCACAGCAACGCUGGAUCCUUAAACUGCUGAGAGAGGCCAGGGAUUUGACCUGCAUCUUUAUGGAUACCAAUAAGUUCGUUAAUUCGUUAACCACUGAGCCACGUCGGGAAUUCUAUUGUGUGUGUGUGUGUGUGUGUGUGUGUGUGUCGUUGCGGUGUAGGCCACAGACGUGGCUCAGAUCCCGAGUUGCUGUGACUGUGGUGUAAGCCAACAGCUGUAGCUCCCACUUGACCCCUAGCCUGGGAACUUCCAUAUGCUGCAGGUUCAGCC